RNAcentral lists this long non-coding RNA (365 nucleotides) under Dromaius novaehollandiae (emu). Its description in RNAcentral is "lncRNA (ENSDNVG00000001455.1)". The record is from RNAcentral. Lineage: Eukaryota; Metazoa; Chordata; Aves; Casuariiformes; Dromaiidae.
UAAAUAGUUCUGUUAUCCUGAGCUUUCUGUCUCUACCUUCAAAGGUGUAUGGAGUAUGGAAAUUGGAAUCACUGGAAUUAGCUUUUUUGGCUAUCUACUUAGUUAUUAAAUGUAAAGAAAUUUAUAUGGUUGGCAUGUUUUCCCUUACAUGGAGAUUCCUGGAUCUGAGGAUUUUUAAGACUCAUAUAACCUGAUGACCAACCAGUUCUUCUGAAUCUUACAAGAUUCUUCACUGCCUUUCACCUUGUAUGUCUCCUUAAAUGUGUGCAAAGUAGAUACAAGAGUCCAAGAAUCUGUUAUAAGGAUCUUAUACCUGUAUAAAUAACUAUACACUCUGUGUAAAUCAGGUAAGAAUAAAAUCGUAA